Molecule: long non-coding RNA, 1690 nt
Organism: Chrysemys picta bellii (western painted turtle)
Lineage: Eukaryota; Metazoa; Chordata; Testudines; Emydidae
Source: Ensembl
GGCUAAUCUUAAUAAUAUUUACUUGUAUAUUAUAUAUUUAAUCAUUGUGUCUAGGGCUUGAUCUGGUGAGUGCUCAGCUCCUAAUGAAGUGAGGAUAUGGGGUGUUCUGAACCUAGCUGCAUCAGGCCUUUUAUCUUUAUCUGGCUCCACGUAUGCAAGACACUGGCAAUUACAAAGUUCAAGCAAGCAAUGCAGACAGAUUUGCCACGUUUUCAAGAUCGACAGAGUCACCAAUGGCUGAUUCUUCUGCCAGCUCUGUGAGGAAAAUCUAUGAAAAAUGUCACUGAACCAUUACACAAAUUAAAGGCUCACAGAAAGCAUUCAAAGCAGUUCUGCAUGCCCAACCCAUGCUCUCUCUGAAAAAUCCUGAGCUAGAGAGAGAGGCAGAAGAGGAGACAAGAUGACAAGGGAAAGACACAGAAUAGAACACCUACCGCAAAUUAUGUUCCUCCAGCCCACUGAAGUCUGCUAUGGUAGCGGGGUUCUGAGCAGCCUGCUGUGUCAGCUUUCUCUUCCAAAAUGGUGAGAAGAGGAGAAAAGAGAAAACAAAAAAUUACUUUCCAUGCUGCAUGUUCCUUCAGCGGUAGAACACAGAAUAAUUGACUCCUUUGGCAAGAUGAAGAGGCAACCUAGGAAAAGGGGACUUGCAGAACAUUCUGUUGCAACCAACUAGUAUUUUCUUCUUUCAAACACGCUGCUUAUUGUAAAUGAAAGAGCUCAUUCAAAGUCAGAACCCAACCACAAAAUCACAACUUUCAGAAAUAGCUAAUGAGACUAGAGGAUCUGAUAGCCCUGUGGCAACAAACUGAACAGGAUAGAAUUGUCAUGAAUAAUAUUCAUUACUAAUUUGGCCUUUUUGUAGAGUUAAUCAAUUGCUCAUGAACUGAUCUUGAUUUUUUAAUAUAUUUUUAAUUGUAAAUAUUUGUUGGCUACUUUGGAUGAGUAAUUUUCUGGCUAUGGAUUGUUUGCAAUCUGCUCCUUUUUGACUAUUUGCCGUGUCAAGUAGGUCUCAUGGUGCACUUUUUACUCACUGAAUGACUGAAUCAGUUUAAACAAGAGAAUAGUGAAUAAUGAAUAGUGAAUAACAAAUUUACAGUAUUGACGUUCAGACAAAUAAUCAUUCAUCAUGAAACUAGAAGGGGAUUAUAGCUGGCAGCUGUCUUGGUAUAACAGAUAGUGGGAUCUCUCACCCACAAAUAAUUAACUAAAUGACCCUACAAAUCACAGCAAACCAAACUCAGCAAAUAUAUUCAUUAAUCUUACUAUUCUUUCCAUACUCGUGGACUUCUGCUGGUUGAAUAGUAAUAUAUAUAUUAUAUUUUAUUAUUCAGCCUGCAGUAAUCCUAGACUUAGAACAGAACCUGAAACUUUUGAGAUGUGAGUUUCAUCUGAUUCUUAUCAAAACAUGAGUUCUGGGCUACUAUGUUUGAACUGUUGUUUGAAUUCUGUUUAAACUUUAUUCCCAUGGUAGCCCUAGAAGCAGGAUGAGAAUUGCUUUCAAGGUAGAAUCGUUAUUAUUUGCAUAGCACAGGCUUUCACUUAGUUAGAAAUGCACAUUUUUUAUUAGAAUUCCCUUGGAAAAAUCAACUGUUUAAAUUAGAGGUGGAGAUGGGGAGAGUCUUAUGGAACUCCCAAUAGUUUUGCUAAAUUCAAAACUUUGUAAUAAAACAAAAAAGAUGUAAAGGUUCCA